This 303-nucleotide unclassified non-coding RNA is filed under the name uncultured Cortinarius. Its description in RNAcentral is "sequence contains ITS2". The stretch from base 1 to 52 matches the Rfam family "5.8S ribosomal RNA", at positions 103 to 154 of the family's 154-position model. The record is from RNAcentral. Lineage: Eukaryota; Fungi; Basidiomycota; Agaricomycetes; Agaricales; Cortinariaceae.
AACGCACCUUGCGCUCCUUGGUAUUCCGAGGAGCAUGCCUGUUUGAGUGUCAUUAAUAUAUCAACUUCUUCAACUUUUGCUUGUCGAGUGUUGGAUGUGGGGGGUUCUUUUUUUGCCGGGUCUCUUUCAAUUGAGGUCGGCUCCCCUGAAAUGCAUUAGCGGAACAAUUUGUUGACCGUUCAUUGGUGUGAUAAACUAUCUACGCUAUUGACGUGAGCCAGUUCAGCUUCUAACAAUCCAUUUACUUGGAUAAAUUUUUAUUAAUGUGACCUCAAAUCAGGUAGGACUACCCGCUGAACUUAA